GUCCAGGGGCGGGAAUCGAACCCAAGCCUAGUGGACAUGGCAUCUGCCCGGUAAGCGGAAGGUCGUGGGUUCGAUUCCCGCCCCUGGACA
RNAcentral lists this transfer RNA (90 nucleotides) under Cordylochernes scorpioides. RNAcentral describes it as "tRNA-Thr". The stretch from base 25 to 81 matches the Rfam family "tRNA", at positions 9 to 63 of the family's 71-position model. From Rfam's summary of the family: Transfer RNA (tRNA) molecules are approximately 80 nucleotides in length. Their secondary structure includes four short double-helical elements and three loops (D, anti-codon, and T loops). Lineage: Eukaryota; Metazoa; Arthropoda; Arachnida; Pseudoscorpiones; Chernetidae. The record is from RNAcentral.